CCCCUAGAUGUUCUGGGCCGCACGCGCGCUACACUGAACAGUUCAACAAGUCUUAACCUUGGCCGAUAGGUCUGGGUAAUCUUUGAACGCUGUUCGUGAUUGGGAUAGACCUUUGCAAUUAUGGGUCUUCAACGAGGAAUUCCUAGUAAACGCAAGUCAUCAACUUGCAUUGAUUACGUCCCUGCCCUUUGUACACACCGCCCGUCGCACCUACCGAUUGAGUGAUCCGGUGAAUAACUCGGACUGCUGCGAAGCCCAGUUCCUGGAUUUCGCAGCGGGAAGUUUAGUGAACCUUAUCACUUAGAGGAAGGAGAAGUCGUAACA
Molecule: ribosomal RNA, 324 nt
Filed under: uncultured eukaryote
Lineage: Eukaryota
Description: partial 18S ribosomal RNA
Rfam family: Eukaryotic small subunit ribosomal RNA
Source: RNAcentral